UACGUAGGUGGCAAGCGUUGUCCGGAUUUAUUGGGUUUAAAGGGUGCGUAGGCGGUCUAUUAAGUCAGUGCUGAAAUAUCCCGGCUUAACCGGGAGGGUGGCAUUGAUACUGAUGGACUUGAGUGCAGUCGGGGUAGGCGGAAUUGACGGUGUAGCGGUGAAAUGCUUAGAUAUCGUCAAGAACACCGAUAGUGAAGACAGCUUACUAGGCUGUAACUGACGCUGAGGCACGAAAGUGUGGGGAGCAAACAGG
Molecule: ribosomal RNA, 253 nt
Filed under: uncultured bacterium
Lineage: Bacteria
Description: partial 16S ribosomal RNA
Rfam family: Bacterial small subunit ribosomal RNA
Source: RNAcentral